UACGAAGGGGGCUAGCGUUGCUCGGAAUCACUGGGCGUAAAGCGCACGUAGGCGGAUUGUUAAGUCAGGGGUGAAAUGCCAAGGCUCAACCUUGGAACUGCCUUUGAUACUGGAGAUCUUGAGUCCGGGAGAGGUGAGUGGAAUUGCGAGUGUAGAGGUGAAAUUCGUAGAUAUUCGCAAGAACACCAGUGGCGAAGGCGGCUCACUGGCCCGGAACUGACGCUGAGACGCGAAAGCGUGGGGAGCAAACAGG
Molecule: ribosomal RNA, 253 nt
Filed under: uncultured bacterium
Lineage: Bacteria
Description: partial 16S ribosomal RNA
Rfam family: Bacterial small subunit ribosomal RNA
Source: RNAcentral